UUCCCACAAAAGGAAUCGAGCCAAAUCGAAGUUGGAUAACUCCGCAGGUGUGGAUUAGCGGGAAUUGACGGACCGCUCAGAGGACUUGAAGUUAUUUAUCUCCAGCUUGCGUGAGGAUUUGGUGUGACUAUCUUGUGAGGAUUAUACAUUUCCAAUUGAUAUAAUGUUGAAUUAUAUGUUUGGUUUGUAAUAAUUGGUUUUCUGAGUUGUAUUGAGAACUCAGUGAUGAUCCGCUGUGCACGUUAAAUGAUUUCGAUUUCAUUGAGAU
Long non-coding RNA from Argentina anserina (silverweed cinquefoil), 268 nucleotides. RefSeq lists it as uncharacterized. The record is from RefSeq and is a predicted model, not a curated record. NCBI's taxonomy places the organism in Eukaryota, Viridiplantae, Streptophyta, Magnoliopsida, Rosales, Rosaceae. The transcript is spliced from 2 exons.